Bicyclus anynana (squinting bush brown) is the source of this 1074-nucleotide long non-coding RNA. RefSeq lists it as uncharacterized. NCBI's taxonomy places the organism in Eukaryota, Metazoa, Arthropoda, Insecta, Lepidoptera, Nymphalidae. The record is from RefSeq and is a predicted model, not a curated record. The transcript has 3 exons.
CCGCCCGGCGUGUCUGUGGAGCAAGCCUGACUUGCCGGGGUACAGCAAGGCAAUUGCCACGGGUUGGGUAGUCGAUGGCAUCAGUGAGUAUCAUCAGUAUCAUCAUUGUCACUAACAUAGUUCGUCAGUAACAUCCGCCCGGCGUGUCUGUGGAGCAAGCCUGACUUCCCGGGGUACAGCAAAGCUAUCGCCACGGGUUGGGUAGUCGAUGGCAUCAGUGAGUAUCAUCAGUAUCAUCAUUGUCACUAACAUAGUUCGUCAGUAACAUCCGCCCGGCGUGUCUGUGGAGCAAGCCUGACUUCCCGGGGUACAGCAAAGCUAUCGCCACGGGUUGGGUAGUCGAUGGCAUCAGUGAGUAUCAUCAGUAUCAUCAUUGUCACUAACAUAGUUCGUCAGUAACAUCCGCCCGGCGUGUCUGUGGAGCAAGCCUGACUUGCCGGGGUACAGCAAGGCAAUUGCCACGGGUUGGGUAGUCGAUGGCAUCAAUGUGCCAUGGGACGCAUUAAACUCACUCAUGAAGAUGCCGUUCCGCCUUCUGGAUUCAAACUUCUGCAACAAAACUUUUGAGAAGUACCAACAGGAAUGGUGGGGAGUCUCAGACGAGCAGUUGUGCGUCGAAAAACUGAACGCAUCAUACGGCAUGUGCACGGGUCCCCCCGGUUCGCCGCUGCAGGUGGUGUCACGCUCUGACAAGUGCAUCGUUCAUGUUGUGGGUGUGACGUCACUGAAUAUAAUUCAAGCAAAUCACUGUCUCAUCCCUACACUGGUAUCGCGAGCAGUGCACGUCCGCUCCGGUCUAGCGCCAAUGACAGACUGCCCACAAACACUACAUCAGUCAUAGUAUCAAAUUCGUUUGCAGGGCCCCACCGGUUCGCCGCUGCAGUUGGUGUCACGCUCCGACAAGUGCAUCGUUCAUGUUGUGGGUGUGACGUCACUGAAUGGGCAUUUGAAGGACCUCGUCCUUACUAUAAUAUAAUAGAAGCAUAUCACUGUCAAGCAGUGCACGACCGCUCCGGCCUAGCGCCAAUGACAGACUGCCUACAAACACUACAUCAGUCAUAGUAUCAAAUUCGU